This 2113-nucleotide long non-coding RNA is filed under the name Anneissia japonica. Its description in RNAcentral is "uncharacterized LOC117102764, transcript variant X2". The record is from RNAcentral. Lineage: Eukaryota; Metazoa; Echinodermata; Crinoidea; Comatulida; Comatulidae.
AUGAUCACAGUCUACUGCUGCCUUUGAACUACCGCAUUUACUCUGCACAUGCUCAAUUUUACAAUUAAUCAAUCUGUGAAAAUCUUAAGUCAUUAGACAAUUUUAUCUGAAGAGUGUUGCACCAUGUAUGUGUAGCACGAAACAAAAUAGUUUUUCAAAUAUAUUUGAUUUGAUUUUCUUUGGGAUAACAUCUUGAUUAAACUUUCUCUCUUUGCUGCUAUUCAUUAUAAUACUAUUUUAUCAAUCUUAUUGACAAGACAUGCCUAGUAUGCUUGACAUUAUAACCCCAGAGUCCUUGGUUCAAGCACUUAUGAAGCACAUACUGAGCUCUCUUUGAGGGAGUAUUCCAUAAUGCACAGCAAGUUAUUCAGAUAUUAGUAUUCAAGCCUAUCACGUAUCCGCUUUUUGGGUGGAGAGAAACAAUGGGCAGUUUUUGCAACCUUACAAAAACAAUAACGAAUACGUUAAUUAUCAUUAUCGUCAUUCAUGCCUGAAACAUCCUUGACAAUAUGUUGUACAAAUUGAAUGUGAUGCAAAAAGUAUGAAUGUGAUGCAGAAGUCAUGAAUCGAUAUCUUACUAUAGGGGAAGGGUUGUCUAAAAAUUACGAAAACGUAUUGUUAUCCUUUUCGUAAGCUUGCGAAAACUAUCUAAUGAAUGCAUAAUAAAAUGCCUUGCCACGGGUCACAAACAAGUUGCUAGGUUCUGACUCAAAACCCUAAUUGUUUAUUUGAAGCCCAUACUACUACACCAUCUUCUCUCACAUGCAGUACUAUAUUUUUAUAUUAUACUUUUCUGAUCAAAAACAUUUUUAAUAGACAAGGGUAAACCAGUAAAUAUUAUUAUUUUUUUUUUUUUUUAGAAUGAAAGAUAUGUUGCUAGGCCAUGGUGGGAUCCAAGUCUUGAUAAUGGUCAACCUAGAUAUACUUAUGAUGAGGCAAACGACAAAUGGUCAACUUUUGGGAGUGAUGAACCUAAUACUGGACGGAGGUUUCUUUCUUCCCGAAGAAGUAAACGUAGCAAUACAAGAGCGUCUGGGUCAAAGUACAAGGAGAUGUGUGGCAUCAUGUAAUAAUUUCAACCUUGUUUUAGGUAGAUACUAGAGAGCUUUUGAUUGCACGACGACCAUAGGACGUAGAAUAUAAUGAGGUCACAUAAAGUCAUCUGCACAUGCAAGAAUCUUUAGUUCUCGCAGUUGCAUGGAUUCUAGGCUGGAUGAGUGAAUCCGUUAUAGCGUUGUGUCGUUGUGCAAAUCAAAAGCUACCUAAUACUGGAGUGCAUAAAAAGUAAUGUUAUAAUACUGAAUUUAAUUCAGAUUUAGAAACAACUUGGUUUAUGUUAUGUUUUGCAUGCUUCAAUUUAUACUUGAAAAUGAAAAAAAAUUCUUCUUUUGCAUUACAUCAAAUAUAUGUAUGAAAAAAUAUUCUAAAUCAAUUAUUUUUGGCUAGAAGCAUUUGGUGUCACAUAUGUUGACCUUUUAUUUUUUCCUACUGGUUUAAAGAUCUAUCCAGAUUAUCAGAUUUUCAAAAAACUUUUGUAUGUCUGUAUAUAGUCACGAUGUGCCUAAUUGUCAUUACGUGAUGUUCAAUAAUUUCCGUUGAGAUAUUUUCUUUGGAAAAUUAUUUAAAACAUGGAAAAGAGGACUGGUUUUGUUUAUUGGUGAAUGUAUAUCUUAUUGGAUCAUUUUAUUUUUGUUCAGGACUUUGAUUUUGACUUGUUUCCAAUUGGUUCAUUUAAUAUGAAGUACUGAACCUGUUCAAAAUUAAGAGCUGAAUGUGUACUGUAUUCCAUAAUUAUAAUUGAAGUACUGGGGUUUGUUUUUUUUUUUUUUUAUCUGAAAAUUUCCAAUUUUAUUAGAUUCACAUGGCAGUAUAUCGUUAUAGAGACUGAAUGUUUAUCCAAUUGGAUAAGUUUGUAUAAAGUAUUUUUAAACAUAAGGUGUUGAUUUUUGUUCACUAUUAAGGGAAUAAACACUUUUUUUGGAAUUGACAAUUUUUUUUAUAAAGUAUUGUUCAGAAAACUUGUACUCAAUGCAUGCUUAUAUACCUAUGUCAGUAUGGCUUAGUCGAUGAUGAAGAUAGUGUAUUAAAAUACUGUAAGUAAAACAGAAAAUUA